RNAcentral lists this ribosomal RNA (965 nucleotides) under uncultured Bacteroidota bacterium. Its description in RNAcentral is "uncultured Bacteroidetes bacterium partial 16S ribosomal RNA". Lineage: Bacteria; Pseudomonadati; Bacteroidota. The record is from RNAcentral.
GAGUUUGAUCAUGGCUCAGGAUGAACGCUAGCGGCAGGCUUAAUACAUGCAAGUCGAGGGGCAGCAGCUUUAUAGCAAUAUAGAGGCUGGCGACCGGCAAACGGGUGCGGAACACGUACACAACCUUCCUUGAAUAGGGGGAUAGCCCAUAGAAAUGUGGAUUAAUACCCCGUAAUAUAGCGGUGUGGCAUCACACUGUUAUUAUAGUUUCGGCGAUUCGAGAUGGGUGUGCGGCUGAUUAGGUAGUUGGCGGGGUAAAGGCCCACCAAGCCUUCGAUCAGUAGCUGAUGUGAGAGCAUGAUCAGCCACACGGGCACUGAGACACGGGCCCGACUCCUACGGGAGGCAGCAGUAAGGAAUAUUGGUCAAUGGACGCAAGUCUGAACCAGCCAUGCCGCGUGAAGGAUGAAGGUCCUCUGGAUUGUAAACUUCUUUUAUAGGGGGCGAAAAAAGGUCUUUCUAGAUCACUUGACAGUACCCUAUGAAUAAGCACCGGCUAACUCCGUGCCAGCAGCCGCGGUAAUACGGAGGGUGCAAGCGUUAUCCGGAUUCACUGGGUUUAAAGGGUGCGUAGGCGGGUAGGUAAGUCAGAGGUGAAAUCCUGGAGCUUAACUCCAGAACUGCCUUUGAUACUAUCUAUCUUGAAUAUGGUGGAGGUAAGCGGAAUAUGUCAUGUAGCGGUGAAAUGCAUAGAUAUGACAUAGAACACCUAUUGCGAAGGCAGCUUACUACGCCUAUAUUGACGCUGAGSACRAAAGCGUGGGGAUCAAACAGGAUUAGAWACCCUGGUAGUCCACGCCCYAAACGAUGAUUACUUCGACGUAUGCGAUAMACAGUAUGCGUCUGAGCGAAAGCAUUARGUAWUCCACCUGGGAAGWACRAMCGCCARGKUGAAACUYMAAGAAUUKGCCGGGGUCCSCACWACSKKGAGCAUGGUUGUUMAAUUCGAKAKAWCSYRAGGACCU